Molecule: ribosomal RNA, 713 nt
Filed under: uncultured apostome ciliate
Lineage: Eukaryota; Ciliophora; Oligohymenophorea; Apostomatida
Description: bacterial SSU rRNA
Rfam family: Eukaryotic small subunit ribosomal RNA
Source: RNAcentral
UGAUCCAGGGAGGUAGUGACAAGAAAUAACAACCUAGUCGCAAGACAGUGGAUUGUAAUGAGUGCAAUUUAAAACACUGCACGAGGAACAAUUGGAGGGCAAGUCUGGUGCCAGCAGCCGCGGUAAUUCCAGCUCCAAUAGCGUAUAUUAAAGUUGUUGCAGUUAAAAAGCUCGUAGUUGAAUUUCUAGUCAGUUAAUUUGGAGGUCUCCUUCACUUUAGCUGGCUAUUCGACACUGAACCAUGUCGGUUAUUAAGUUAACCCCAUGGAGAAUUGUCAUUUUACUUUGAAAAAAUUAGAGUGUUCAAAGCAGGCCUUUGCUCGAAUACAUUAGCAUGGAAUAAUAGAAUAGGACGUGUGGUUCUAUUUUGUUGGUUUCUAGGACCGCCGUAAUGAUUAAUAGGGAUAGUCGGGGGCAUCAGUAUUCAAUCGUCAGAGGUGAAAUUCUUGGAUUGAUUGAAGACUAACUACUGCGAAAGCAUUUGUCAAGGAUGUUUUCAUUAAUCAGUGAACGAAAGUUAGGGGAUCGAAGACGAUCAGAUACCGUCGUAGUCUUAACCAUAAACUAUGCCGACUAGGGAUCGGACGGUGUUAGUAUUUUGACCCGUUCGGCACCUUACGAGAAAUCAAAGUUUUUGGGUUCUGGGGGGAGUAUGGUCGCAAGGCUGAAACUUAAAGAAAUUGACGGAAGGGCACCACCAGGCGUGGAGCCUG